Molecule: non-coding RNA, 215 nt
Organism: Pelobates cultripes (western spadefoot toad)
Lineage: Eukaryota; Metazoa; Chordata; Amphibia; Anura; Pelobatidae
Source: the annotation of a GenBank genome assembly
AUGUCAGGAAAUAUUUACAGACUGAGUCAACAUUCAACCAGUAAACAGUAAUAAUUGAACAAUGAAUAAUUAUGGCUGCAAUAAGCACUGGACUGUGGUAACUUGUCUAAAGAUGUGAAACAUGCUUCCCCCUAUUUAUUAUGUCUUUAAAGGGACCCUUAAAGAAACAUAACAACUAAUGGUGGAAUUGGUUAUGGUAUAUGGUGGUCUCUUAU